UUGCCAGCCCGCUCAAGAAACUCGAAAGGAAUUGACGGGGGCCCGCACAAGCGGUGGAGCAUGUGGUUUAAUUCGAUGAUACGCGAGGAACCUUACCUGGGCUCAAAUGUAUGUUGACGUAUUCUGAAAGGGAUACUUCUUCGGACAAUAUACAAGGUGCUGCAUGGUUGUCGUCAGCUCGUGCCGUGAGGUGUCGGGUUAAGUCCCAUAACGAGCGCAACCCUACCUUUAGUUGCCAUCAGGUAAUGCUGGGGACUCUAAAGGAACUGCCUACGCAAGUAGUGAGGAAGGCGGGGAUGACGUCAAAUCAGCACGGCCCUUACGUCCAGGGCUACACACGUGCUACAAUGGCCGAUACAGAGGGCAGCUACCUGGUGACAGGAUGCAAAUCUCCAAAGUCGGUCUCAGUUCGGAUCGGAGUCUGCAACCCGACUCCGUGAAGUUGGAUUCGCUAGUAAUCGCGCAUCAGCCAUGGCGCGGUGAAUACGUUCCCGGGCCUU
RNAcentral lists this ribosomal RNA (500 nucleotides) under uncultured Sphingobacteriales bacterium. Its description in RNAcentral is "bacterial SSU rRNA". It matches the Rfam family "Bacterial small subunit ribosomal RNA", at positions 903 to 1382 of the family's 1533-position model. Lineage: Bacteria; Pseudomonadati; Bacteroidota; Sphingobacteriia; Sphingobacteriales. The record is from RNAcentral.